Molecule: ribosomal RNA, 439 nt
Filed under: uncultured bacterium
Lineage: Bacteria
Description: partial 16S ribosomal RNA
Rfam family: Bacterial small subunit ribosomal RNA
Source: RNAcentral
CUACGGGAGGCUCCAGUAGGGAAUCUUAGACAAUGGGGGAAACCCUGAUCUAGCCAUGCCGCGUGAGUGAUGAAGGCCUUAGGGUUGUAAAGCUCUUUCGCUGGGGAAGAUAAUGACGGUACCCAGUAAAGAAACCCCGGCUAACUCCGUGCCAGCAGCCGCGGUAAUACGGAGGGGGUUAGCGUUGUUCGGAAUUACUGGGCGUAAAGCGCGCGUAGGCGGGCUAUUAAGUCAGGGGUGAAAUCCCGGGGCUCAACCCCGGAACUGCCUUUGAUACUGGUAGUCUUGAGUUCGAGAGAGGUGAGUGGAAUUCCGAGUGUAGAGGUGAAAUUCGUAGAUAUUCGGAGGAACAUCGGUGGCGAAGGCGACUCACUGGCUCGAUACUGACGCUGAGGUGCGAAAGUGUGGGGAGCAAACAGGAUUAGAUACCCCGGUAGUC